Long non-coding RNA from Oppia nitens, 1554 nucleotides. RefSeq lists it as uncharacterized. Lineage: Eukaryota; Metazoa; Arthropoda; Arachnida; Sarcoptiformes; Oppiidae. The record is from RefSeq and is a predicted model, not a curated record. The transcript has 5 exons.
UCAUCGCCAACAAGUAUACCAUCAUCAUCACCACCACCACAACGGGAACCGUUAUUUGAUCGCAAUAGUCAUCAACCGUUACCAAUAUUUACCGAAACCUAUUAUACUGUUCAGAACCAGAAAACUGGUCGAUGGCUACUAUGGUUGCCCAAAACGGGAACGGCCUACAAAUGGUCUAACAAAACAGUGAAUAUGUUUUAUCAUUGGUUAGAGCCGACAAAUUAUCUAGGUUGGAUCAACAUGCGACAUGGUAUUAAUUCAAAUAAUAUUAAAUUAUCCCGAUCAGAUUACCAGGGCUACUAUUUUAUCUACAGUCAAAAUUGUCUAUACCAUCAUCAUCACCACCACCACAACGGGAACCGUUAUUUGAUCGCAAUAGUCAUCAACCGUUACCAAUAUUUACCGAAACCUAUUAUACUGUUCAGAACCAGAAAACUGGUCGAUGGCUACUAUGGUUGCCCAAAACGGGAACGGCCUACAAAUGGUCUAACAAAACAGUGAAUAUGUUUUAUCAUUGGUUAGAGCCGACAAAUUAUCUAGGUUGGAUCAACAUGCGACAUGGUAUUAAUUCAAAUAAUAUUAAAUUAUCCCGAUCAGAUUACCAGGGCUACUAUUUUAUCUACAGUCAAAAUUGUCUAUACCAUCAUCAUCACCACCACCACAACGGGAACCGUUAUUUGAUCGCAAUAGUCAUCAACCGUUACCAAUAUUUACCGAAACCUAUUAUACUGUUCAGAACCAGAAAACUGGUCGAUGGCUACUAUGGUUGCCCAAAACGGGAACGGCCUACAAAUGGUCUAACAAAACAGUGAAUAUGUUUUAUCAUUGGUUAGAGCCGACAAAUUAUCUAGGUUGGAUCAACAUGCGACAUGGUAUUAAUUCAAAUAAUAUUAAAUUAUCCCGAUCAGAUUACCAGGGCUACUAUUUUAUCUACAGUCAAAAUUGUCUAUACCAUCAUCAUCACCACCACCACAACGGGAACCGUUAUUUGAUCGCAAUAGUCAUCAACCGUUACCAAUAUUUACCGAAACCUAUUAUACUGUUCAGAACCAGAAAACUGGUCGAUGGCUACUAUGGUUGCCCAAAACGGGAACGGCCUACAAAUGGUCUAACAAAACAGUGAAUAUGUUUUAUCAUUGGUUAGAGCCGACAAAUUAUCUAGGUUGGAUCAACAUGCGACAUGGUAUUAAUUCAAAUAAUAUUAAAUUAUCCCGAUCAGAUUACCAGGGCUACUAUUUUAUCUACAGUCAAAAUUGUCUAUACCAUCAUCAUCACCACCACCACAACGGGAACCGUUAUUUGAUCGCAAUAGUCAUCAACCGUUACCAAUAUUUACCGAAACCUAUUAUACUGUUCAGAACCAGAAAACUGGUCGAUGGCUACUAUGGUUGCCCAAAACGGGAACGGCCUACAAAUGGUCUAACAAAACAGUGAAUAUGUUUUAUCAUUGGUUAGAGCCGACAAAUUAUCUAGGUUGGAUCAACAUGCGACAUGGUAUUAAUUCAAAUAAUAUUAAAUUAUCCCGAUCAGAUUACCAGGGCUACUAUUUUAUCU